Molecule: long non-coding RNA, 402 nt
Organism: Gallus gallus (chicken)
Lineage: Eukaryota; Metazoa; Chordata; Aves; Galliformes; Phasianidae
Source: Ensembl
UUUAUCUGUGAACAUCAGUACAAAGCAAAGGGGAAAGAGGCCAAGCAGAUGGUAAAUCCUCCUGCAGAGUAAACAGCCUGAAAAGGGAACAGCUGCAGAUGCCUUUUUGACAAGCACCUCGCCUGAUGCUGGCCAUGUGAAAUAUUUGUACCCGUCAGAUAUAUUACGCUGUCCUCAUCUUCAGUUCUCUGUGUUGUUUACAGCCUGGUUCCCUGGAAGUCAGUAGAGCUUUUCAUAGCUAGUCCUUCAAUUCUUGAAAAUACACAAGUCAAGUAUUUUUAACUGUUUCAUGCCACAGCUUCUAUAACUGCUGUUUGUUUCUGUUCUUUGCCUCAGUUGCUUCUGUCCUUUGGUGUGCUGUAACCAAGCAAAAAUGUUCUUGAGUGUUCCUGGCUCUAAAAC